This 430-nucleotide ribosomal RNA is filed under the name uncultured bacterium. Its description in RNAcentral is "bacterial SSU rRNA". It matches the Rfam family "Bacterial small subunit ribosomal RNA", at positions 328 to 775 of the family's 1533-position model. The record is from RNAcentral.
CGACCAGACUCCUACGGGAGGCAGCAGUGGGGAAUAUUGCACAAUGGGCGAAAGCCUGAUGCAGCGACGCCGCGUGAGUGAAGAAGUAUUUCGGUAUGUAAAGCUCUAUCAGCAGGGAAGAAAAUGACGGUACCUGACUAAGAAGCCCCGGCUAACUACGUGCCAGCAGCCGCGGUAAUACGUAGGGGGCAAGCGUUAUCCGGAUUUACUGGGUGUAAAGGGAGCGUAGACGGUACGCCAAGUCUGAAGUGAAAUGCCGCAGCUUAACUGCGGAACUGCUUUGGAAACUGGCGGGCUGGAGUGCGGGAGGGGUAAGCGGAAUUCCUAGUGUAGCGGUGAAAUGCGUAGAUAUUAGGAGGAACACCGGUGGCGAAGGCGGCUUACUGGACCGUAACUGACGUUGAGGCUCGAAAGCGUGGGCAGCAAACAG